Molecule: unclassified non-coding RNA, 337 nt
Filed under: soil metagenome
Description: partial contains 5.8S ribosomal RNA, internal transcribed spacer 2, and large subunit ribosomal RNA
Rfam family: 5.8S ribosomal RNA (bases 1-120)
Source: RNAcentral
GAUGAAGAUCGUAGCGAAAUGCGAUAAGUAAUGUGAAUUGCAGAAUUCAGUGAAUCAUCGAAUCUUUGAACGCACAUUGCGCCCGCCAGUAUUCUGGCGGGCAUGCCUGUUCGAGCGUCAUUUCAACCAUCAAGCCCCCGGGCUUGUGUUGGGGACCUGCGGCUGCCGCAGGCCCUGAAAAGCAGUGGCGGGCUCGCUGUCACACCGAGCGUAGUAGAUUUUAUCUCGCUCUGGGCGUGCUGCGGGUUCCGGCCGUUAAACCACCCUUUUAACCCAAGGUUGACCUCGGAUCAGGUAGGAAGACCCGCUGAACUUAAGCAUAUCAAUAAGCGGAGGA